AUGCAUACAAACAGUGGGAGCGGACUUGUUCCGUGACUGCGUACCUUUUGUAUAAUGGGUCAACGACUUACAUUCAGUAGCGAGCUUAACCGAAUAGGGGAGGCGUAGGGAAACCGAGUCUGAUAAGGGCGAUUAGUUGCUGGGCGUAGACCCGAAACCAAGUGAUCUAUCCAUGGCCAGGAUGAAGGUGCCGUAACAGGUACUGGAGGUCCGAACCCACUAAUGUUGCAAAAUUAGGGGAUGAGCUGUGGAUAGGGGUGAAAGGCUAAACAAACUCGGAGAUAGCUGGUUCUCCCCGAAAACUAUUUAGGUAGUGCCUCGAGGUACACUGAUGGGGGUAAAGCACUGUUAUGGCUAGGGGGUUAUUGCAACUUACCAACCCAUGGCAAACUAAGAAUACCAUCAAGUGAUUCCUCGGGAGACAGACAUCGGGUGCUAACGUCCGGUGUCAAGAGGGAAACAACCCAGACCGCCAGCUAAGGUCCCAAAUGAUAGAUUAAGUGGUAAACGAAGUGAGAAGGCCCAGACAGCUAGGAUGUUGGCUUAGAAGCAGCCAUCAUUUAAAGAAAGCGUAAUAGCUCACUAGUCGAGUCGUCUUGCGCGGAAGAUGUAACGGGGCUCAAAUCUAUAACCGAAGCUGCGGAUGUGCGCGUAAGCGUAUGUGGUAGGGGAGCGUUCUGUAGGCCUGCGAAGGUGUGUUGUGAAGCAUGCUGGAGGUAUCAGAAGUGCGAAUGUUGACAUGAGUAGCGAUAAAGGGGGUGAAAAGCCCCCUCGCCGAAAGCCCAAGGUUUCCUACGCAACGUUCAUCGGCGUAGGGUGAGUCGGCCCCUAAGGCGAGGCAGAGAUGCGUAGUCGAUGGGAAACAGGUUAAUAUUCCUGUACUUGAUUUAAGUGCGAUGUGGGGACGGAGAAGGUUAGGUCAGCAAACUGUUGGAAUAGUUUGUUCAAGCCGGUAGGUGGGGAGCUUAGGUAAAUCCGGGCUCCUAUUCAACACCGAGAAGUGAUAACGAGGUUCUACGGAACUGAAGUGACCAAUACCACGCUUCCAGGAAAAGCCACUAAGCUUCAGCUUAAAUCGAACCGUACCGCAAACCGACACAGGUGGGCAGGAUGAGAAUUCUAAGGCGCUUGAGAGAACUCAGGAGAAGGAACUCGGCAAAUUGAUACCGUAACUUCGGGAGAAGGUAUGCCCCAUAACGUUAAGGAUUUACUCCGUAAGCGAUGUGGGGCCGCAGAGAAUAGGUGGCUGCGACUGUUUAUUAAAAACACAGCACUCUGCUAACACGAAAGUGGACGUAUAGGGUGUGACGCCUGCCCGGUGCUGGAAGGUUAAUUGAAGAUGUGCAAGCAUCGGAUCGAAGCCCCAGUAAACGGCGGCCGUAACUAUAACGGUCCUAAGGUAGCGAAAUUCCUUGUCGGGUAAGUUCCGACCCGCACGAAUGGCGUAACGAUGGCCACACUGUCUCCUCCUGAGACUCAGCGAAGUUGAA
RNAcentral lists this ribosomal RNA (1490 nucleotides) under metagenome. RNAcentral's name for it is "bacterial LSU rRNA". It matches the Rfam family "Bacterial large subunit ribosomal RNA", at positions 566 to 2044 of the family's 2925-position model. The record is from RNAcentral.